UACGGAGGGUCCAAGCGUUAUCCGGAAUCAUUGGGUUUAAAGGGUUCGCAGGCGGUUUGUUAAGUCAGUGGUGAAAUCCUACAGCUCAACUGUAGAACUGCCAUUGAUACUGACGAACUUGAAUACAGUUGAAGUAGGCGGAAUGUGUAGUGUAGCGGUGAAAUGCUUAGAUAUUACACAGAACACCGAUAGCGAAGGCAGCUUACUAAACUGUGAUUGACGCUCAUGAACGAAAGCGUGGGGAGCGAACAGG
This 253-nucleotide unclassified non-coding RNA is filed under the name uncultured Flavobacteriales bacterium. Its description in RNAcentral is "contains 16S-23S intergenic spacer region". It matches the Rfam family "Bacterial small subunit ribosomal RNA", at positions 524 to 776 of the family's 1533-position model. Lineage: Bacteria; Pseudomonadati; Bacteroidota; Flavobacteriia; Flavobacteriales. The record is from RNAcentral.